CCAAAGUUAGUGGCAAACGGGUGAGUAAUACAUAUCUAACAUGCCCCUCUGUGGGGGAUAGCCGCUUGAAAAAGCGAUUAAUACCCCAUAGGAAGCUUUAUCCAUGAUUUAGCUUUUAAAGCCUUCGGGCGCUGAGGGAUUGGGAUAUGCUCUAUUAGCUAGUUGGCGGGAUAAAAGCCCACCAAGGCAAUGAUAGAUAGCUGGUCUUAGAGGAUGAACAGCCACAAUGGGAUUGAGAUACGGCCCAUAUUCCUACGGGAAGCAGCAGUAGGGAAUCUUCCACAAUGGACGAAAGUCUGAUGGAGCAAUACCAUGUGAACGAUGAAGGCCUUUUUGGUUGUAAAGUUCUUUUACGAGGGAUAAUUAUGAUAGUACUUCGUGAAUAAGUGACAGCAAACUAUGUGCCAGCAGCUGCGGUAAUACAUAGGUCGCGAGCAUUAUUCGGAUUUAUUGGGCGUAAAGCAAGCGCAGGCGGAUGUGUAAGUUCUGUGUUAAAUGCAGCUACUCAAUAGUUGUAUGCACCGAAUACUACAUGUCUAGAUUGUGGUAGGGAGUUUCGGAAUUAAGCAUGGAGCGGUGGAAUGUGUAGAUAUGCUUAAGAACACCAGAGGCGAAGGCGGAAACUUAGGCCAUAAAUGACGCUUAGGCUUGAAAGUGUGGGGAGCAAAUGGGAUUAGAUACCCCAGUAGUCCACACCGUAAACGAUGGGUAUUAGAUAUUAGGGCUUUAGCUUUAGUGUUGUAGCUUACGCGUUAAAUACCCCGCCUGGGUAGUACAUAUGCAAAUAUGAAACUCAAAGGAAUUGACGGGGACCUGAACAAGUGGUGGAGCAUGUUGCUUAAUUCGAUAAUACACGAAAAACCUUACCAAGGUUUGACAUCCCUCGCAAAGCUAUAGAAAUAUAGUAGAGGUUAUCGAGGUGACAGGUGGUGCAUGGCUGUCGUCAGCUCGUGUCUUGAGAUGUUUGGUUAAGUCCCGCAACGAGCGCAACCCCACUCUUUAGUUACUUGUCUAAAGAGACUGCACAGUAAUGUAGAGGAAGGAUGGGAUCACGUCAAGUCAUCAUGCCCCUUAUGCCUUGGGCUGCAAACGUGCUACAAUGGCGAACACAAUGUGUUGCAAACCAGCGAUGGUAAGCUAAUCACCAAAUUUCGUCUCAGUUCGGAUAGGAGG
RNAcentral lists this ribosomal RNA (1173 nucleotides) under Mycoplasma haemofelis. RNAcentral describes it as "bacterial SSU rRNA". It matches the Rfam family "Bacterial small subunit ribosomal RNA", at positions 86 to 1304 of the family's 1533-position model. Lineage: Bacteria; Bacillati; Mycoplasmatota; Mollicutes; Mycoplasmatales; Mycoplasmataceae. The record is from RNAcentral.